GUGAAUCAUCAAAUUUUUGAACGCAAAUUGCGCCUUCUGUCAGGAGGCGUGGCUGUUUCAUGGCACCAUUUAACAAAUCCUCUCCGGGUCGCUGUGCGUCGUGCACACGUUGAUGAGCUGUUCCGAAAAACCAGGUUUUUUUGUUGGCGCAUAAUGAACGGAGGGGGCUUUUUCUUUUGGUUCUC
Molecule: unclassified non-coding RNA, 185 nt
Filed under: Paraglomus sp.
Lineage: Eukaryota; Fungi; Glomeromycota; Glomeromycetes; Paraglomerales; Paraglomeraceae
Description: partial internal transcribed spacer 2
Source: RNAcentral